This 368-nucleotide ribosomal RNA is filed under the name uncultured organism. RNAcentral describes it as "bacterial SSU rRNA". It matches the Rfam family "Bacterial small subunit ribosomal RNA", at positions 526 to 896 of the family's 1533-position model. The record is from RNAcentral.
CGGAGGGUGCAAGCGUUAUCCGGAUUCACUGGGUUUAAAGGGUGCGUAGGUGGGUUGAUAAGUCAGUGGUGAAAUCCCCGAGCUUAACUUGGGAACUGCCAUUGAUACUAUUGAUCUUGAAUACCGUGGAGGUCAGCGGAAUAUGUCAUGUAGCGGUGAAAUGCUUAGAUAUGACAUAGAACACCAAUUGCGAAGGCAGCUGGCUACGCGAAUAUUGACACUGAUGCACGAAAGCGUGGGGAUCAAACAGGAUUAGAUACCCUGGUAGUCCACGCCCUAAACUAUGGAUACUCGACAUCAGCGAUACACUGUUGGUGUCUGAGCGAAAGCAUUAAGUAUCCCACCUGGGAAGUACGAUCGCAAGAUUG